AUAAGUCAUGUCGAUAUGAGCCAAUCGAUACCCGAAACCCUAGCAUCGGCUCAUGGAUUUCAAAUGGGCCUCAUUAUCGGGCUCAAAUCUAUAUGAAACGCGUAAUUAAAAUGCAGCGGCCCAGUGUCGCUUUAAUGAAACUAUGAAUUUUAAAGAAAAUGGACAGGUGUCACAUUCUCAUUUCAUUAUUUUCUGACGUGGCAGCCUCACAGAAGCUCUUUUUUAUAGUAUUAGAUAUUAAAUUUAGAAAAUCAGAUUUUUGAAGUUCCCUUGAAAUGCUUUAAUAGCCAGAACACUUCCAUUGCAUUAAAAUUUUAAUUCAACACACUUGGAAAUUAUUUCACUACGUUGAUAUACUUAAGACAAUGAUAGAUAUUAUAAACUCAAUGAUU
RNAcentral lists this long non-coding RNA (392 nucleotides) under Brassica napus (rape). Its description in RNAcentral is "long non-coding RNA (BNAP_LNC016920)". Lineage: Eukaryota; Viridiplantae; Streptophyta; Magnoliopsida; Brassicales; Brassicaceae. The record is from RNAcentral.